AGGAAUCUGGGUGAGCCCGCUAGAUGGUGAAAUACCAGGUGGAGAGAGGCCCUCGUCAACACAUUGUCUUAGCUGAGGCUUCAUAAAUCAGCGGCCCCGGCUUCUACUGCACCAAGCUGACUACUAGGUGUGGAGGUGCUUGUGAGUUGGAGCAGCAAAAACUAACUGAUACAGUGUCUGGCUGUCUCUCUUUCCCUCACUCACGCACACCACUCUAUCAAUAGAAAGAGUUCCAUUCUUUGGGACCUCAAGUUCAAAUUCAACUUACAUUUAUGGAAUACCUUCUAAGUUUCCGGCUUUUGACCAGGUGCUUUCACAUGAUGUUCUCAUUCAAAUUUCCUGACCACCAUGUAAAUAAGUAGGAGGGAAGAGAACUUGCACUUACUAGGCACUUACUUACCAAGUGCUAGACAAUGUGCUAUUUCACUUCAGCCUCAAAUCUUUCGAGCACUUUUAAGCUAGAUGAUCAAGGGUGCUGGACAACAGCCUGUCAGUACUGAAAGCACAAGAGAAUCAUUCCACGCUGAUUAAAGCCAGUGCCAUCCCUGGGGCUUCGGCUGGCUGGUGGAGUUUUUGUUCCAGUGUGAGC
Rhinolophus ferrumequinum (greater horseshoe bat) is the source of this 589-nucleotide long non-coding RNA. RefSeq lists it as uncharacterized. The record is from RefSeq and is a predicted model, not a curated record. NCBI's taxonomy places the organism in Eukaryota, Metazoa, Chordata, Mammalia, Chiroptera, Rhinolophidae. The transcript has 2 exons.